This 1722-nucleotide ribosomal RNA is filed under the name Triticum aestivum (bread wheat). Its description in RNAcentral is "partial small subunit ribosomal RNA". Lineage: Eukaryota; Viridiplantae; Streptophyta; Magnoliopsida; Poales; Poaceae. The record is from RNAcentral.
AUGGGCAAUGAUGCUUUGGGUAGUUAUCAGUAUUCUGGAACUAGCAACUCACCUAAUCAACAAGGACAGGGGUAUGGUUAUACUGGUUUCAAUUUAAAUCAAUCUGGUACUAGCGCUGGGCCUGCAAGUAUUGGGAGCAGAUCACAGAUGACAUGCUAUAAAUGUGAGAAUACUGGUCAUGCUGUUAAGGAUUGUCAGACUGUGUUAUUUUGCGUCAACUGCACCAAGGAUUCACACCUCUCGCGCAAGUGCUCUUUCCUGUCACAACCUAAGCAUGUUGCCAGUCUGGUUGGUAGUGCUGCUGAUGGUUUGCAGAUGUUCUCAGCAAGGACCGGAAAGAAGUCGGAGCCAGAUAAAAACAAGCAGGCUAUAGCUAUUGUUACUGUGAAAAAUGCAAGCCUGACUGCGUUACAGCUUGUUAACUCUCUCAGCAUGAUGUUCCAGUGGGGAUGGGAGUGGCAGGCUAAGCCUUACCUCAGAGACAGCUUUUUAGUCAAAUUCCCUUCCGUGAAUAAAAUCGAUGAAAUGAAGGCGUACAAUUUCUUUGGUCUGAUUGGAACAACAACUAAUAUCAAAGUAGACAGAUGGACCAACUCUUCAACUGCAGCUUUCAAACUGUAUGUUUGCUGGGUUAGAAUAACAGGGGUUCCCGAGACACUGGAGCACUAUCAAGGUUUUUGUGAAGCUGGCUCUCUCAUUGGUUCAGUUUUGGAACUGGACAUGGAGCUCUAUAGGCAAUGUGGAGUUCUCAGGGCUAAGAUUGGAGUUAUGGAUCCUAGGAAAAUACCCUCUAGCGCUCCCCUGAAUGAAAGUGGUUUUAUCUUCAACAUAUACUUUGAACUGGAAGACAUAGUGGAGGAGGGUGGUCCUAUGGAGGGUGGUAUCUUGGUUAGCUAUCCUAGUGGUCCUGAUUCAUCUCAUAACGCUACAGAGAAAAGACCGAGAGAGCAAAGUAACAAUGAGGAGGUGGGAUGUAGCAAAUCUCCCAAACAUGGUACUGGGGCUGGAAAGUCGGAUAAAGGAAACACUUCAGUUUCAUCAGAGGUUGUGAUUCCGAGUCAAUACGAACUUGAUAAGAACAUGGUUGCUGAAAAUGAGGUGAGGCAAAAAUUACUUGACAAAAGCCGGGAUGCUGAAAGAGUUCUCUCUGGUGUGGAACAGGUUAAUGCCGAGUUUGUUAGUAGCGCUGCUAUGUUGGAAGAUUUCACGGAAGUGCCUGACAGCCAAAAGGAAGAAGAGUUUGAUUGCACUCAAGACCCAGAUGACUUUGCUAGGAGGCUUGGGAUUAGCACUCAAAAAGUUAAAGAAAUCAAUGCCAAUGUUGAGAGGGAGAUGAUUGCGGAGGAAAAUGAGAAUCUGCUACUAGCACAAGAUAAGGAAAAUAGGAGCCCUUCUCUCAUUAGCUCCACUCAGGCUGUGACCGCUCCCGGGAGAGAAGUGAAUCAGAAGCAAACUCCCUUCUCUGACAAAGUUGACGUAUGUUUACAAUACCCCUUACAAGACCUGUGUGGUGUCGAUGUAGUCAACAAGCAGAAAAUGAGGGAGGCUGAAGCCAGAGUUCAGAAAGCAAAAGACAAGGCGGCGCUUGAUGAAGCUGCUAGGAGAAGGAGUGAAAGGCGUAAGAAUAAAGAUGAGGGGCAGACUAUGGACAAGGCUACUGAAAUGGCAAAGAAGAAAAAUCUGGAAAUGGCACCAGAGAAAAGGUGUGCAAAAAAUGCUUAG